RNAcentral lists this ribosomal RNA (500 nucleotides) under uncultured bacterium. RNAcentral describes it as "partial 16S ribosomal RNA". It matches the Rfam family "Bacterial small subunit ribosomal RNA", at positions 29 to 523 of the family's 1533-position model. The record is from RNAcentral.
AUUGAACGCUGGCGGCAUGCCUUACACAUGCAAGUCGAACGGCAGCACGGGAGCAAUCCUGGUGGCGAGUGGCGAACGGGUGAGUAAUGUAUCGGAACGUGCCCAGUCGUGGGGGAUAACGCAGCGAAAGCUGUGCUAAUACCGCAUACGAUCUAUGGAUGAAAGCGGGGGAUCGCAAGACCUCGCGCGAUUGGAGCGGCCGAUAUCAGAUUAGGUAGUUGGUGGGGUAAAGGCCCACCAAGCCUGCGAUCUGUAGCUGGUCUGAGAGGACGAUCAGCCACCCGGGGACGGAGACACGGCCCAGACUUCUACGGGAGGCAGCAGGGGGGAAUUUUGGACAAUGGGGGCAAGCCUGAUCCGGCAAUGCCGCGUGCAGGAUGAAGGCCUUCGGGUUGUAAACUGCUUUUGUACGAGACGAAAAGACUCGCUCUAAUACAGUGGGUACAUGACGGUAUCGUAAGAAUAAGCACCGGCUAACUACGUGCCAGCCGCCGCGGUAA